This 839-nucleotide small RNA is filed under the name Pan troglodytes (chimpanzee). RNAcentral's name for it is "processed transcript". The record is from RNAcentral. Lineage: Eukaryota; Metazoa; Chordata; Mammalia; Primates; Hominidae.
CUGCUGGGCUGGCGGGGCGCAGGCCGCGGGACCCGAGCCCGGGGGAGCGAGAGAGCGGAGGCGCCGAGGAUCCGAUUCAUUCGCUGGGGAGACCUAUGGGCCGAAGCCGUGUAGAUGCGUUUUAAGCAGGGGCCUCGGCUCCGCAACUGCCACUCCUCCUCGGGGUGUUGCACAAGUUUCGAGGUCACCGGCGACCCCCCCUAGCAGCGCUCCUGGCUCUGGCCCCCGCGAAGGAGGACGGAGUUUGUGUGUUGCAUACUUUCUAAGGCGGCGGCUGCAGCAGCGGCUCCAUCCAGCCCGUCAGCUCCUCCUGCAAGGCAUGGCUGGCUACCUGAGUGAAUCGGACUUUGUGAUGGUGGAGGAGGGCUUCAGUACCCGAGACCUGCUGAAGGAACUCACUCUGGGGGCCUCACAGGCCACCACGGCAGAUUUUGUAUUUUCUUUCUCCAUGCCCCCGCAUUGCACCUUGUAGAAACUGCCAUCUAACAUCUGCUGAAUGGACUUGACGAGGUAGCUGCCUUCUUCGUGGCUGACCUGGGUGCCAUAGUGAGGAAGCACUUUUGCUUUCUGAAGUGCCUGCCACGAGUCCAGCCCUUUUACACUGUCAAGUGCAACAGCAGCCCAGGUGUGCUAAAGGUUCUGGCCCAGCUGGGGCUGGGCUUUAGCUGUGCCAACAAGGCAGAGAUGGAGUUGGUCCAGCAUAUUGGAAUCCCUGCCAGUAAGAUCAUCUGCGCCAACCCCUGUAAGCAAAUUGCACAGAUCAAAUAUGCUGCCAAGCAUGGGAUCCAGCUGCUGAGCUUUGACAAUGAGAUGGAGCUGGCAAAGGUGGUAAAGAGCCA